This 253-nucleotide ribosomal RNA is filed under the name uncultured bacterium. RNAcentral's name for it is "partial 16S ribosomal RNA". It matches the Rfam family "Bacterial small subunit ribosomal RNA", at positions 524 to 776 of the family's 1533-position model. The record is from RNAcentral.
UACGUAGGGGCAAGCGUUGUCCGGAUUUAUUGGGCUUAAAGCGCGUGUAGGCGGACGGGUGCGUCGGCUUCUGAAAGCCCCCGGCUCAACCGGGGAAGUGGGGCCGAAACGACCCGUCUCGAGGGACGUAGGGGGAUCUGGAACUUCCGGUGGAGCGGUGAAAUGCGUUGAGAUCGGAAGGAACGCCCGUGGCGAAAGCGAGAUCCUGGACGUUUUCUGACGCUGAGACGCGAAAGCUAGGGGAGCAAACGGG